Molecule: long non-coding RNA, 936 nt
Organism: Oryzias melastigma (Indian medaka)
Lineage: Eukaryota; Metazoa; Chordata; Actinopteri; Beloniformes; Adrianichthyidae
Exons: 4
Source: RefSeq, a predicted model, not a curated record
GCCUCUGACUGGAGACUAAAGAUUUUCAUGUUUUGCGUCCAGGUAUACAGAAGAACUCGCGAGUUAAAACCGAACAACUUCACAAAAUCAUCUCCACCAAAAAUGCAUUAGCCUUAAGGGAGGAAACCAUGUAUGGGGUUCCAUUUGGGGCCACUGCAAGACAACUACAUGGCUCAGGAUUUUCAAAGUUAUAUUGUCUGACAGCCAGGAAAAAUGCCUAUGUUUUGAGGUCAAAACGUUUUCUGUGUGGGACACAAUGGCUGAGUUUAAACAGGUUGAACACGCUUGAUGUGUUUUCUUCCACUCACUCCACACUGUAAAUCUCUCUUCAACAUUUUAGUUGUUCUAAUGUAUUAUUGUAAUUCAACUGAACAAGCUCAUGUUGUUCAUAUAAAUUAAAAAACUAAGUCAAACAUAUCUUAACUAAACAAAAUUUCUCAAAAUGAAAUGUAGUGUUCAGUUGACUUAACAAUUUGAGUUCAAUCGCCCUUUGGCCCUUCCAGCAUGUAACCACUAGGUGGCGGUAAGAGUGCAAAUGUUCGCUUUUUGCUCAGAAGCAGUAGAAGAAGAAGCUACGGAUGGGGGGAAAGAGAGCGGACGGAGUCUGAACUUCGCGGCCUUUUCAAAUUUACGUUGAUGGGUCGUCAUUUUGCUGAGGAGGUGUCACUUUUUUUUUGACAAAAUAAAGGAUAUUUUGGACGAAGAGAAGACAAAUCACCACAUCUGGAUUCACCUGCAGCCGUGUCGCAGAGGAGAAAUACAUUCAUUCACAUGGUUCCUACCAGGGCUACUAGACCUGUACGAGGCCACGGCUGGGACGCUAGCUGGACUGAGCAAGAUGUUUUGAAUCCCCUGAUGAGGAGGUUUCAAUCAUGGGAGGGCUGAAACUUGGUGUUGUACUAAUUGAAGAUGGAGAAGACAUGGUGGAACAUCAGU